UCGGGGCGAGUAAAGCGGCGCACGGGUGAGUAACACGUGGAUAAUCUACCCUUUGGAUUGGAAUAACCUGUCGAAAGACGGGCUAAUGCCGAGUAAGCUCUCGAGAAUAUAAUGUUCUUGCGAGGAAAGAUGGCGCAAGCUAUCGCCGAUGGAUGAGUCUGCGUCCCAUUAGUUAGUUGGUGGGGUAAUGGCUUACCAAGACAAUGAUGGGUACCUGGUCUGAGAGGAUGACCAGGCACACUGGAACUGAAACACGGUCCAGACUCC
RNAcentral lists this ribosomal RNA (267 nucleotides) under uncultured bacterium. Its description in RNAcentral is "partial 16S ribosomal RNA". It matches the Rfam family "Bacterial small subunit ribosomal RNA", at positions 81 to 339 of the family's 1533-position model. The record is from RNAcentral.